GUCGUGAGAUGUUGGGUUAAGUCCCGCAACGAGCGCAACCCUCGUCCCUAGUUACCAGCGGGUUAUGCCGGGCACUCUAGGGAGACUGCCGGUGUCAAACCGGAGGAAGGUGGGGAUGACGUCAAGUCAUCAUGGCCCUUACGUCCAGGGCGACACACGUGCUACAAUGGCCGGUACAGAGCGUCGCCAACCCGCGAGGGUGCGCUAAUCGCCAAAAGCCGGUCUAAGUUCGGAUUGCAGUCUGCAACUCGACUGCAUGAAGCCGGAAUCGCUAGUAAUCGUGGAUCAGCCAUGCCACGGUGAAUACGUUCCCGGGCCUUGUACACACCGCCCGUCACGCCAUGGAAGCUGGGGGGACCUGAAGCCGGUGGGCUAACUCGCAAGAGAGGCAGCCGUCAAAGGUCAAUUCAGUGACUGGGGCGAAGUCGUAACAAGGUAGCCGUAGGGGAACCUGCGGCUGGAUCACCUCCUUUCUGGAGCGAUGAGUAGAGCGCCCUCGGGCACCUCGAAAAUCCUCAAGAAUUGUCGCUCGACUCGUACAAUCCCUCUCUUCGAUCUCGAUUGCUCAACGGCACGGCGCAUAGGCCCAUCAGGGGAAACUCUGAUGGGCCUCUGUCGCCACACGCUGUUUGACAACGGAAGUUGGUGUAGAUCGUGGGAAGCGAAUCAUCACAAUGACGACAAUUUCGUUUUUUGUUGUUAGUUCUGAUAGAAACGCGCGUGCUCUGCUUGCUACGAACUAUGUAGUCAAGCGAGCGAAGGCAUGUGGAGGAUGCCUGGGCACACGGAGGCGAGGAAGGCCGCGGUAAGCUGCGAUAAGCCAGGGGGAGCGGCACACACGCACUGAUCCCUGGAUGG
Molecule: small RNA, 858 nt
Filed under: uncultured Gemmatimonas sp.
Lineage: Bacteria; Pseudomonadati; Gemmatimonadota; Gemmatimonadia; Gemmatimonadales; Gemmatimonadaceae
Description: bacterial SSU rRNA
Rfam family: Bacterial small subunit ribosomal RNA (bases 1-473)
Source: RNAcentral